AGACAGUGGAAGUGCUACUGCAAGCAUUUUUUUCUCAUAAAACAACGGCCUUACAAGCCUCUCUGCAGCCUGGGCCAUUUUGAAGGCACUUAUUUCGCAGUGUCACCGAUAUUGUGGAGAAGAUGGUGGGGACCUGCUUAAACCAAGGAGCCUACUAAAUAUCCAGAGUGGAAUCUGCUGGGAUGGAAAUGAGUGAAUGGAGCUGGAGGGCACGUGAGACUGGGCAUCAGUCCAGCUGUUCAGUGUGUGGCCAGGGACUGGCAAACCCAGUCUCUUUGAACUGUGGACACAGAGCGUGCCAACAGUGUGUCAGCUUCCAUUGGGACCAGCCUGGUCCACCAGGGGAUCCUGGAUGCCCCCGGUGUGGAAAGAGAUCCAGAACACACCCUGAACCGAAUCUACAUCUGCAAAAUCUUGAAGACCAGCAUGAAAAGAAACAUGGAGCAGCUUCAGUCCCUAACUCCAUUAGUGCCCGGGAUGGAGGCACCGUCAUUGCACCAUUUAUCUAUAACUCCACAGUGAGGGACAUCGUCAUCACUUUGCCAAAAACAGAAGCACCACAAAGCAGUUCCACUCAAAAAU
Esox lucius (northern pike) is the source of this 582-nucleotide long non-coding RNA. Lineage: Eukaryota; Metazoa; Chordata; Actinopteri; Esociformes; Esocidae. The record is from Ensembl.